GGCAGCUCUCAGUGGCAGGCAAGCAGCACAAAUAGAUUGAAAAACGAGGGAAUGCAUAAGCUGCUCCCCUGACUCACCACUGACUGUUGCAGAACUGACAUACCUGUGUAAGGACUGCCUCAGAGUUUGUGUUCCUGCCCAGCUGAGAACAACUUGACUCAUCUGCAGAAACCAGGACCACUGAAACGUUAAUGCACAAUGAAGCUGGCUAACGGGGAAAAUAAGUUCAGGUUACUUCAGUAACCUUUCCUUGAAAUUCUACCUUCUUAAUAUUUUGUUUUAUAUUUUAGCUAUAUUCUGGCAUAUAUUCAAAUGGAAGAAUAUGCCAUACUCACAGCAAGUAAUAAUUUAGAAUUCAUAUCAUGCUGUUUCACACUGGAAACACCAGCCAGUCAGAGUUAUAAGAAAGUACAGUGGCAUCAGAUGUGCAAAAAACCCACAAACCUGAAAACUGAAAUAGUUUGACGUGUCUUCCUGAGCACAUAGAGAUGAGUAUUUCUCUUGCCCACACAUUCUCCUAAUUAUGGUGAAAGUAAUUUCAAUAGGUACCCUGCACAGGGAAGGCCUCAAAUUAUCCUAAAGGCCAGACAUCCCCAGAUCUCAACUUCCAUGUGAAUCUUGGAGAGGUUCAAAUACUCUUAUAAGGACAAAACCCAUCCCCACAAUUCCCACCACAGGUGUAGG
Long non-coding RNA from Zonotrichia leucophrys gambelii, 684 nucleotides. RefSeq lists it as uncharacterized. The record is from RefSeq and is a predicted model, not a curated record. Lineage: Eukaryota; Metazoa; Chordata; Aves; Passeriformes; Passerellidae. The transcript is spliced from 3 exons.